Molecule: unclassified non-coding RNA, 1296 nt
Filed under: Hevea brasiliensis (rubber tree)
Lineage: Eukaryota; Viridiplantae; Streptophyta; Magnoliopsida; Malpighiales; Euphorbiaceae
Source: RNAcentral
GUUGUUUUUGGAUGGGGCUUCCUGUGCCAUUCUGCAAGAACCAUCUUCCAAGAAAGGACACUCCGGUUAUUCUUGAAAGUGAGACUGGAGAAGAGUUUGAAAUAAAGUACAUUGCUGAAAAGACCGGACUUAGUGCAGGAUGGAGAAAGUAUGCUGCUGCUCACAAGUUGGUUGAGGGAGAUGUUUUAGUUUUUCAACUUGUCGAGCCUACUAGAUUCAAGGUGUAUGUAAUAAGAGCAAAUGAUCUAAAGGAGGUGGAUGGCGCUCUUAGCCUUCUAAAUUUGGAUGCACCCGCCAAGCAAAGUGAUGCAGAGGGAGCUAUUGGUAAUAAUAUAAAGAAGCGUCAAAAGAAGUCUCUUCCCUUAACUGUUGUGCAAAAGAGGAGACGAAAGGAGGACCUGAGUAAACAACUUGUGCCAUUGGAGGCACAGUCGGGAAAUGAUAGUGAUGAGGUUGCUUCAGAAAUUUUAGAGGGCUCAAGGUCCUCCGGUCUUGCUGUUAAUUUUAGAGACAUUAAGAGCCUUGAGGAGUUCCAAAUUCUGGUGAAUGGAGUAUGCAUAGACUCUGAACUUCCUGAACAUAUAAGGAGAAAGUACUAUGAGUUAUGCUGCAGUAAAAAUGCUUUUCUUCACGAUCGUCUUUUACAAGGUCUUCAUUGUAAGUUGGUUGCUGGUAUGAUUUUUGAAGUCGUCAACAUUGCCGAUAUGGUAAGAGCCUGCAAGCUCAGCACCCCACGGAAGGAAUUUGAUAAAUGGGAGAAGUCACUGAAAUCUUUUGAACUUCUGGGCAUGAAUGUUGGAUUUUUGAGGACUCGUCUGCGCUGGUUGCUGAGUCUUGCAUUCGACUCUGAAGGUGCUUCGGACACCAAGAGGUACUGGGACGCUAAAAAGGAAUGGUCUCGAGCUGAAGAUGAGAUACGGAAUCUUGAAAUGAAACUUGAGGAACUGAAACAAGCUUCUGGAAAAUAUGUUGCUGAUGUUGAGGCUCUGAAAUCAAAAGCUGAGAGUUAUGAGCUUAUGUUUCAAGGAGAAGUCAAUGCUCCAUGGUAAUCUUAUCUAUAUUAUAUGAUGUAUGCAGCAAAUCAGAGGGAACGGUACAAAGGGAGAAUGUUGUUAGUAUAUCUUAUUAGUUUGUACUUGGUAGUAAUAUCAAGCUAGGAAGACAUGAUAAUUUUACUUUUUUCGAUUGCUAAAUUCUGCUGCUAUUGUUAUUUAAGCCUAAAAACCUAGCUAAAAAAUUCAAGGGCUGGUGUCUCGUGUGUACAAGUAGUCUAUAUUCUAAGUCACUGUUUCAAAA